CUUCAACAGAUCUAUAUGUUAGAUUCGAAAAGUUUUAAGAUCAUUUUUUUCUUGUGUUUUGUUAGUAUUUUUUUAGUAAUUUAUUUUCCUUAUUGCAGAUUUAUGUAGUGUUUUAUUUGUCGUCGGUAUUGUGUGUUUUCUGUUGGUCUAUCGGUCUCCAUCUCACAUUGUUAAGGAGCAGAUUGUCACCACAGCCAAAGGAUUUUAGUAGAAGCACGUAACGACUUCACCUUGUCUGUAUGAGCAGUGUGCAUGUCAUCCCUCUUGUAAUAAACUGUACCUAGGCUAGAAUAUUCUCUGUAUAAAACCUCUCUCUCGUUGUAGCUGUGCCUAUAAAAAGGCAUCAUUGUAAUGCUUCAAAUAUACAUGAACAUACAUGUUUAAAAGCAGAGUUCAUUUCCUUUAGCAUGGUAUCAAGAGCCUAACAGACUAACAUCCAUGGCACCUCCCAAGCCUCAGAAUCCUAAUCCUUCCCUCACCAUUUCUGUCAAACUCACCCCAGAAAAUUAUCUCUUAUGGAAAGUGUAGCUUGUGCCUUAUCUUCAUGGCCAACGCUUGUACAAAUACGUAGAUGGCUCCUGUUCUGCCCUUAAAACCCAACUUGACAAUGGUGCUCCCAAUCCCGAAUAUGAUACCUGGAUUGAGCAGGAUCAAUUAGUGAUGUCUAUGCUCAUCUCCUCCUUACAAGAACCUAUCAUGGCUGAAGUUGUGGGCUGUACUUCUGCUCGUGAAGUCUGGCUCUCUCUCGAGUCAACAUAUGCAUCUAUUUCUCAAUCUUGAAUUCUCCAAACCCAACUCAAACUAGCCUCCCUCAAGAAAGGAACCGAUACAAUCUCAGUUUACUUUCGUAAUGCUAAGCAUUACUUUCGUAACGCUUGACAAUGGUCCUUUACCUCCUGAAGAUUUUGUUCCUUAUCUUUUUGCUGGUCUUGGACUUGAAUAUGAUGGUCUUGUCACCUUUGUUACUUCUCGCGUCACUCCUAUUUCUCCAAGUGAAAUUCUUAGCCACCUGCUUGCCCAUGAAGCUCGAAUGAUACACCACAAUGAAAACAACCUUUUUCCCACUUAAGCAUAUGCUCAGUACAUGACUAAAAAUCAAUGUGGUCGAGGCCAACGAUGGGGUUGCAACAACCGUGGGCAUGGUCGCUCAAAUCGUGGUUGUGAACCACUUGGAGGUAAUCAUGGUAGCACUCAGUUUUCACAUACUGGCACUCGUUUGGUAUGCCAGGUUUGUAACCGCCAAGGGCACUCUGCCCUCACUUGCAUUUACUACUCCAAGUGGUUGUGAACCACUUGGAGGUAAUCAUGGUAGCACUCAGUUUUCACAUACUGACACUCGUUUGGUGUGCUAGGUUUGUAACCGCCAAGGGCACUCUGCCCUCACUUGCAUUUACCGCUUCAACCAGGCGUACACUUCCUCAUCACCAAUUUCUGCAAACUAUACCUCCAACUAUCCUUCAGAUUCCAGCUAGUAUCCUGGCACGGUAGCAACGCAUCAUAUCACAAGUGACUUGUCCGAUUGAUUCUGUAGGCUGUCGAGUACCAUGGUGAUGAUUCCUUGCGUGUUGGCGAUGGCUCCACAAUUCCCAUAUCUCAUUCCGGAACGAACAACGGGGAAGCCUCUACUUCGCGGAACCACGCAUAAUGGGCUCUACUCCUUCAUGCCUCCAUUGUCGCCUCCUUCAGCUCACACAACUUCUCUCUCAAUUCCAACAUGGCAUUCAAGACUCGGGCAUCCCUCCAUUAAACUUGUCCGUUCCAUUUUACAGCAUUAUAAUCUUCCUUAUGAUCGUUUAAUAAUGCCAUCCUUUUGUAAUGCAUGUCCUCAAGGAAAGUCCCAUAGACAACCUGCACUCACUAGGAGUCACAAGUCUAUCUCCCCCUUUCAACUUGUGUUUUCUGAUUUAUGGGGUCCUUCUCCACAUGUAUCUCAUGAUGGACAUAAAUAUUAUAUUAGUUUUAUGGAUGAUUAUUCCCGUUA
Molecule: long non-coding RNA, 1981 nt
Organism: Carya illinoinensis
Lineage: Eukaryota; Viridiplantae; Streptophyta; Magnoliopsida; Fagales; Juglandaceae
Exons: 2
Source: RefSeq, a predicted model, not a curated record